RNAcentral lists this ribosomal RNA (450 nucleotides) under uncultured bacterium. Its description in RNAcentral is "partial 16S ribosomal RNA". It matches the Rfam family "Bacterial small subunit ribosomal RNA", at positions 338 to 795 of the family's 1533-position model. The record is from RNAcentral.
CCUACGGGUGGCUGCAGUAAGGAAUAUUGGUCAAUGGACGCAAGUCUGAACCAGCCAUGCCGCGUGGAGGAUGAAGGUCCUCUGGAUUGUAAACUUCUUUUAUUUGGGAAGAAACUCCCGAUUUCUAUCGGGAUUGACGGUACCAGAUGAAUAAGCACCGGCUAACUCCGUGCCAGCAGCCGCGGUAAUACGGAGGGUGCAAGCGUCAUCCGGUUUCACUGGUGCGAAGGGGUGCAGGGAAGGGCGGGGAGAAAUCUCCGGGCUUAACCCGGAAACUGCCAUUGAUACUAUUUGUCUUGAAUACUCUGGAGGUGAGCGGAAUAUGUCAUGUAGCGGUGAAAUGCUUAGAUAUGACAUAGAACACCCAUUGCGAAGGCAGCUCACUACGGAAAUAUUGACGCUGAGGCACGAAAGCGUGGGGAUCAACCAGGAUUAGAUACCCUUGUAGUG